UCGAGAAUCUUCCGCAAUGGACGAAAGUCUGACGGAGCGACGCCGCGUGAUUGAUGAAGUUCUUUGGAACGUAAAGAUCUUUUAUGAGGGAAGAAGUUUAUUGACUGUACCUCAUGAAUAAGGGGCUCCUAAUCUCGUGCCAGCAGGAGCGGUAAUACGAGAGCCCCGAGCGUUAUCCGGAAUUAUUGGGCGUAAAGGGUGUGUAGGUGGUUGUAUUAGUCGUUUGUCAAAUCUCGGGGCUUAACCUCGAAACCGCGAACGAAACGGUACGACUAGAGAAUGUGAGGGGUAUAGGGAACUCAUGGUGUAGGGGUGAAAUCCGUUGAUAUCAUGGGGAACACCAAAAGCGUAGGCACUAUACUAACACAUAUCUGACACUCAAACACGAAAGCGUGGGUAG
This 400-nucleotide ribosomal RNA is filed under the name uncultured bacterium. RNAcentral describes it as "bacterial SSU rRNA". It matches the Rfam family "Bacterial small subunit ribosomal RNA", at positions 355 to 768 of the family's 1533-position model. The record is from RNAcentral.